RNAcentral lists this transfer RNA (66 nucleotides) under Caridina longshan. RNAcentral's name for it is "tRNA-Leu". The record is from RNAcentral. Lineage: Eukaryota; Metazoa; Arthropoda; Malacostraca; Decapoda; Atyidae.
AUUACCUUGGCAGAUGAAUGUACUAGAUUUAGGAUCUAGUUAUAUAGUGUAUAACUAUAGGUAAUA